This 301-nucleotide ribosomal RNA is filed under the name uncultured bacterium. Its description in RNAcentral is "partial 16S ribosomal RNA". It matches the Rfam family "Bacterial small subunit ribosomal RNA", at positions 509 to 807 of the family's 1533-position model. The record is from RNAcentral.
CAGCAGCCGCGGGAAUACGUAGGUGGCAAGCGUUGUCCGGAAUUAUUGGGCGCAAAGGGCUCGCAGGCGGUUUCUUAAGUCUGAUGUGAAAGCCCCCGGCUCAACCGGGGAGGGUCAUUGGAAACUGGGAAACUUGAGUGCAGAAGAGGAGAGUGGAAUUCCACGUGUAGCGGUGAAAUGCGUAGAGAUGUGGAGGAACACCAGUGGCGAAGGCGACUCUCUGGUCUGUAACUGACGCUGAGGAGCGAAAGCGUGGGGAGCGAACAGGAUUAGAUACCCCUGUAGUCCCUGUCUCUUAUAC